RNAcentral lists this ribosomal RNA (213 nucleotides) under Escherichia coli. RNAcentral describes it as "partial 16S ribosomal RNA". It matches the Rfam family "Bacterial small subunit ribosomal RNA", at positions 1 to 209 of the family's 1533-position model. The record is from RNAcentral. Lineage: Bacteria; Pseudomonadati; Pseudomonadota; Gammaproteobacteria; Enterobacterales; Enterobacteriaceae.
AAAUUGAAGAGUUUGAUCAUGGCUCAGAUUGAACGCUGGCGGCAGGCCUAACACAUGCAAGUCGAACGGUAACAGGAAGAAGCUUGCUUCUUUGCUGACGAGUGGCGGACGGGUGAGUAAUGUCUGGGAAACUGCCUGAUGGAGGGGGAUAACUACUGGAAACGGUAGCUAAUACCGCAUAACGUCGCAAGACCAAAGAGGGGGACCUUCGGG